RNAcentral lists this ribosomal RNA (435 nucleotides) under uncultured bacterium. RNAcentral's name for it is "partial 16S ribosomal RNA". It matches the Rfam family "Bacterial small subunit ribosomal RNA", at positions 29 to 507 of the family's 1533-position model. The record is from RNAcentral.
AGCGAACGCUGGCGGCAGGCUUAACACAUGCAAGUCGAGCGGGCACUUUCGGGUGUCAGCGGCGGACGGGUGAGUAACGCGUGGGAACGUGCCCUCUGGUUCGGAAUAACUCAGGGAAACUUGAGCUAAUACCGGAUACGCCCUUUUGGGGAAAGGCUUGCUGCCGGAGGAUCGGCCCGCGUCUGAUUAGCUAGUUGGUGAGGUAACGGCUCACCAAGGCGACGAUCAGUAGCUGGUCUGAGAGGAUGAUCAGCCACACUGGGACUGAGACACGGCCCAGACUCCUACGGGAGGCAGCAGUGGGGAAUAUUGGACAAUGGGCGCAAGCCUGAUCCAGCCAUGCCGCGUGAGUGAAGAAGGCCUUAGGGUUGUAAAGCUCUUUUAUCCGGGACGAUAAUGACGGUACCGGAGGAAUAAGCCCCGGCCAACUUCGUG